AAAGAAAAAAAAAGACACAUAGAUUGGAGGUAAAGGAAUGGAAAAUGUAUUCCAUGCAAAUGGAAACCAAAAGAACUGGGAUAGCUAUACUUAGGUAAAAUAGAUUUUAAGUAAUGUAUACAAGGAGACAAAGGUCAUUGUAUAAUGAUAAAGGGAUCAAUUCAAGAGGAUAUAACAAUUAUAAAUAUAUAUGCACUCAGCAUCAGAGCACCUAAAUAUAUAAAGCAAAGAUAUAAAGAUCUGAAGAGAUAAACUGCAAUACAAUAAUGGUAGGGUACCUCAAUACCCAUUUUCAACAAUGUACAGAUCAUGCAGACAGAAAAUCAAUAUGGAAAUGUUGGAAUUGAGCCACAGUUUAGACAAAUGGAUCUAACAUAUAUACAGAACAUUUCAUCCAAUAGCAACAGAAUACACAUUAUUUUCAAGCUCACACAGAGCUUUCUGCAGAAUAGAUCAUACAUUAAGCUACAAAAGAAAACUUAACAAAUUUAAGCAGGUUAAAGUCAUAUCCAGUAUCUUUCAACCACAGUGGUAUGAAAUUAGGAAUUAAUAAUAGGAAAAAUGUCAGAAAAUUCACAAUAUGUAGAAUUAAACCAAAUUCUCCUGUACAACCAGUGGGUCAAAGACAAAAGUAAAAGGGACAUUAAAAAUUGUCUUGAGACAAAUGAAAAUGGAAACACCACAUGCCAAAACUUGCGGGUAGCAGCCAAAGCAGUCCCAAGAGGAAGAUAAUAGCAAUAAACACCUAUAUCGAAAAAGAAGAAAGACUGUGAACCAUCUAACUUUAUAUCUUAGGGAACUAGAAAGAGAAGAAUAAAUUAAGGCCAAAGUUAGUAGGAGGAAGGAAAUAAUAAAGAUCAGAGCAGAAAUAAACACAAACUAGAAAAACAACAGAAAAGAACAAAACUAACAGUUGGUUUUUAAGAUAAAAUCAACAAACCUUGAUCUAAACUAAGAAAUGAGAGAAGGCUAAAAUAAAAUUAGAAAAUAAAGCAGAGACAUUAUACAUGAUACUACAGAUAUACCAAGGAUCUUACGAGAUUGCCAUGAACUUGCUAACAAAUUGGAUAACCUAGAAGAAAUGGAUGAAUUCCUAAAACCAUAGAAUCUAUAUGAGCCGUAUACUUUCUUAACAUUUCUGCCAUCCUCCCUAUCCUCUUUGGUAUAGCCUCUCUUCAGACUGCCUCCUUAGCUCUCUUCUGGAUCACUAUAACAGCCUAACAAUUGUAUCACCUUCAGUUUUGCUCUUCCUUCCAUAUGACUAAAUAAAUGAAAAAUUUGAUCAGACAUUAACGAGUAGGGAGAGUGAAUUGGUAAUAAAAGGUCCACUUAUUUUGUCUUACAGUGAGAGUGGCUUGCUAUUAUCUCCCAUUAUUGAUGCAUUUCUAUCUUUGUCUUCCUGCAUCCCCUGCAGUUUUUGCUUCAUAAGAAUGUUUGCAGUGUUAUUUGGUACCAUACAUAUUCAUGUUAGGUCUUUAUUGUGAAUUACAGAUUUUAGAAUUAAAAAGGAGAUUUGGGCCGGGCACAGUGGCUCACGCCUGUAAUCCCAACACUUUGGGAGGCCGAGGUGGGCAGAUCACCUGAAGUCAGGAGUUUGAGACCAGCCUGCCCAGCAUGGUGAAACCCCGUCUCUACUAAAAAAAAAUACCAAAAAUUAGCCAAGUGUGGUGUCAGGCGCCAUAAUCCCAGCUACUCAGGAGGUUAAGGCAGGAGAAUCACUUGAACCUGAGAGACGGAGGUUGUGGUAAGCCAAGAUCGCCCCAUUGUACUUUAGCCUGGACAACAAGAACGACUCUGUCCCAAAAAAAAAAAAAAAAAAGAGAUUUGAGGGUCAUAUUUAUAUUUUUUUGGCUUGGAUUCUACGUUGCCUAGUAUCAGGAUCACCUCCCCUAUUUUCUUAUUGUUCUCAUUUCCCCUAUAUUUCAUUGUCCAUCCCAUUAUUUUUAGUCUUCUUACAUCACUUUGUUUCUUGUAUACAGUAUACUGUUGGUUCUAGCUUUGUAAGACAAAUUGAAAUAAGCUGAAUAGGUGAGUCAAGCCCACUCAUCAUUCAUAUGACUGAGUGUUUGGUUUGAAGCCUGUCAUAAAAUUGUAUUGUUAUAUUUGCUAUAUUUAUUUUCUGUGCAAUGUGUACUAUUUGUCAUUUUAUGAAAAUGUUUUACUGAUAGUUAAGAAUUUUUAUUCUAGUGGUUAUCUUUGUAUUUAUACUUUAUUCUCCAUUUUCUUAUUUAAGAUUUACUAUCUAGUUUGUCAGGUUUUAAUGCCUGUAAUUCACACUUAUUGCCUAUACAGCGAUCAAUGAUUUUAAUCUCACGUCUUUUUGCUCCCAUUUUUUAGUUGUUUUAUUUCUACCUGAUUGCAACAUAUAAUGUUUGUGUAUUGGUUUUGCACUCGAAUUCCUACUGUUGGUUUAGUCUGAAAGCUACUAUUAAAUAUAGUAAAUAUUGUAAUUUUAUUUUGCUGAAGUUUUUCAGUCAUCUCUUGUUGAAUGAAGCUCAUUCAUUAGUAGAUCUUCAUGAGUGGCUCAGGGGUACAUAAUUGUCUAAGUUAUGUGUUUGAAGCUGUUUUUCUAUUAUAGUGUUUUAUACUGAAGGACAGCUUGACUGAAUAUAAAAUCUUGGUUCACACUUUCAGUUUUUUGAAAAUUUAUUGUCUUGCUUUAUAUAUAUUUUUUGAGAAAUCUGAUACCAGUCUAAUUAUUUUGCCCUUGUAAAUUAUUUGAUCACGUAUCCCUGAAUCCUCGAGGAUUAAAAAAUUUUUUUCGGCCUGGCUCGGUGGCUCACGCCUGUAAUUCCAGCACUUUGGGAGGCUGAGGCGGGCAGAUCACGAGGUCAGGAGAUCAAGGCCAUCCUGGCUAACAUGGUGAAACCCCAUCUCUACUAAAAAUACAAAAAAUUAGCCUGGUGUGGUGGUGGGCGCCUGUAGUCCUGGCUACUCGGGAGGCUGAGGCAGGAGAAUGGCGUGAACCCGGGAGGCAGAGCUUGCAGUGAGCCGAGAGUGCGCCACUGCACUCCAGCCUGGGCAACAGAGCGAGACUCCGUCUCAAAAAAAAAAAAAGAAAAAAAGAAAAAUUUUUUUUUCAAGUUUAAAUAGUUUUACUGAGAUGUGUCUUGGAGUUAACAUUCAAAGUUUACUUUUCCAGUUAACUGGAAAUCCCUUUCAAAAUGUAGAUUCAGAUCCUUUUUAUUUCUGAUAAUUUUUCAUGGAUUAUAAUGUUAAAUAUUCUGUUCCAUUGUUUUUUAUUUCUUCUUCAGGGGUUCCAAUUAUAUGUGAGUUAUUUAUCUUUUGUUCAACUUUCUCUUUCUGACCAUUUUUCCUUCUUUUCUGUAUCGUAUUUAUUUGUUUAUUUUUGCAUCUAUCCAGUGUCUAAGUUUUCAUUAGUCUGUUUUCCUUUGGACACCUUGUAAUUUAGUCUUCAUUUAUAAUUCCCCCCCUUCCAUUUCUUUCUUGAAUUCAAUAAUCUUUAAAUUUACUCGUGGUUUUUUUAAUCUAUUUCUGUUUUUUAUAUUUUGAAUUUCCAAUUCACGGUGCUUUUUCAUAUCCCCAAAUGCUUAUCUGAGGAUUUUAUUCAGUUUGAUAUGUUGUGUUACAAUUUUCUUCUGAUUUAAUGGUUGCUUUUUGGUAGAGAAUUUUCAUCAGCCAAUGCAUGUUAAUUAUUGUUUGCUGAUUUCUCAUACUACCAUUAUAUAGAUUUAGUCCAUUUCCUUCCAUUCAUUUUUUUGAAUUUGAGGGGUUAUAAGAUUCCUAGUUCAGAAGGACUCUCUCUGUCAGCAUAGAAAAUACAAUUUCUUUAGGGGGUGUUUUUUUUAACUUUAUAGUAGAGGGAGGGAUUAUGUAUGUUCCAGUUUUUUGUUUUUUGUUUUUGUCUUGCAGGACCCUGAAUUUCUCCUGUUGCUUCUUUUCCCCUUCACCAUCCAGUUGCCAAAAGGCACCUUGCCUAUUCUUUUUGCUCUCUCCACUCCCUGAAGCUAUCCUGUAAUAAGUGUUGUGAUACUAAGAUACUUUAUAUUUUUGCACCUAGGAUAGAAUUUCUAUCUCUGCUGGUGAUUUUAGACCAAUUUUAGGCCUGCCACUAGAUCCGUUUUUCUUUAUUCUGUAUGUUCUUCUUUGGCCUGCCCUUGCUUGCUACAAAGGCUUAUGGUAGAAAUGUGAAAGAUCACUCACUUGGAUUUGGUGCUUUUAAUUUUUUUACUUAUAAGUAUUUGACAUUUGGCUAUAUUUUUCUUCUUGUUAGGCUGAGGGUGUAUUUUGUAUAGAUUUAUUUAUUCUUCUUGUUCUGUAUCGUUUAUGACGGACAUAGGUAGCUGCCAUUUUAUUUUAUUACCGCGAAGUCCUCACCUAUUCACUCUUAAAUCUACCUCAUUGAAGACUUCAAUAACUAUUUGUUGUUGGAAGCCAUAAUGAAACUGUUGAUCAAAUUACCCAAUCCAAAUCAAAUUAACCAAAAAGACUUUCUUCAGUCUUCAUAUUAAUUACCUUCCCUGCAGAACAGAACAUGGUUGCCCAUUAUGUGAAAUUCCUUUUACUUCUUUGGUGGUCCUGUCUGUUUUCUUAUGCCUAAUUGUUGCUUACGGUAUACUUGCUGUUUGUUUGUUUGUUUGUUUGUUUCUUUUAUACACUCAUUAAGUGAGUUCUCCAUCUAAAUAUCCCAUAAGGCACUUCAGAAUCAACAUAUCCAAAAGGAAACAUAUUUUACUCAUCUCCAAAUCUUUUGUUUCUCCAGCAAUUCAAGUUUUGGUGAAUGAAGCUAUGAACAAUCCAGUAAUCCAAACCAGAAACUUGAGAGUCAUCUUUUUUACACCUCCCACUUUGCAUCUCUCACAUUGAAUAAGCAAUCAUGCCCUGAGCCAUAUACUUUCUUAGCAUCUCUGCCAUCCUCCCUAUCCUCUUUGGUAUGGCCUCUCUUCAGACUGCCUCCUUAGCUCUCUUCUGGAUCACUAUAACAGCCUAACAAUUGUAUCACCUUCAGUUUUGCUCUUUCUUCCAUAUGACUAUCAGAAUUAUUUCUCUGGAAGAUCAUGUCAAUCACUCCUUCUCAGUGGUUCUUCAUUGCCUAUAGGAAGAAAUCCAAACUCCGUAGCAUGAGAGAAAUGUUUUUCAUAAUGACUUUAUCCUGCCUUUCUAUUGUUUCUUUCAUAUCAUGCCCAGCUCAGCCCCCCAUUCAAUGAAAAUCAUACUAAACUACUUUAAUUCCACUAACAUGUUGUGCUAGUUAAGCCUCUUUACCUUUGUUCAUGCUGUUUUUACUCAGACCACUCCAUUCCACAACAUACACUUGGGGGAUACCUACUAAUUUUGAAGACCCCCUUCAGCCCUGAUGUUAACCUUCUUUGUGGAAUCAUUAUUGACAUGAUGGAUAGAAUUGGUCAGAUGCUUCCUUGUUCAUCAGUUGUACUAGGCACAGCAUUCUAAUGUAGCACCUAUUACACAUUUUAAAAUUUGUUUACAUGUCUCCCCUCAUGUAAGUUUGUAGGACUGGUACCUGAAAUAUACUAGGCUUACCUUACUGACAUUUUGAAAUAUAAGAUAGCUUUCCAAGGCUUGCUUUUGCCUCCUGAUUCAGGACUCUACCAUUGGCAUCAUCAGGAAGAAUUUCUAAUAGUAUUAUUGAUCAGAGUCUUCUGGAAGUUUCUGCAGGUUACACAUCAACUUACUUUUCCCUGACAAAAUAAUUCUGCAUCUAGAAACACAAACAAGUAGUCAAAGAAGUUAUAUUGGAACUAAGAGAUGAAUUACCAAAGGAAAACUGAAAUCAAGAAACAUUUGAUGAAAUUCAGGCAAUGUCUUCAGGUGCCAGAGGACACAGAAAUGUCCCGAGAACCAUUCACAUGAUCUUAAAGAAACUUCUGCUGGUUGUCUUGUACCUUUGAAGCAGGUGUGAUUGAGAUGGAUACCUUAAUUUUUUUAAAGUAAAAAUUGUUCAUUCUCUUAUGUACUUUAGCAUACUGGUAUUCUUAUCAAAAUAUGAAACAGCAUCAAGUUUAAUAUUAAUUAUAAAACACAUGGUAUAUUUAUAUUUCUGCUCUUUAUUUUCUAAAGUUAACUCAGUUAACUCUCCAUAUAGGUAUUUGGACAUGGGCUGUAACCACUUUUUAGAACAAAUACUGUGAAGAUUGUUUUAUUACAUGACAUUUUAUGAUGUGAGAUUAACACCUUUGUGUUAGUAAACAUCCUAGAUUGUUCACUUCAAUAUAGAUUUUUAAAAUGUAUAGUUAUACUUGUGCAGGAUACUAGAAAAUGAAAAUGACUGUUCACACAUGCUUUAUUAUUCAGUAAUUUUACAAGAAAAUAUUACUGUUUGAAAGAAAAUCAUGCAUGCCUAAAACUGAUUCUGUUCCAGUUUUAUAAGUUAGUAUACUAAUUUUAAGACAUUGUGUAUAUUUCCUUCACUUAAUUUCUAUUUUCUACUGCAUUUCUACCAAUAUAAAAAACAAAGAAUUCAGUUGGUUCCUUUCUAGAGGGAAAAUUUGUUGUGAGUAUAGUACUGGGCAUCACAUGCUGCUUCCCUUUGUGGCUUUGAAUAAACCCUUAUUUUCUUGUCCAUUUUGUCUCAAAGAAUUUUAAAUGGCAUUGUCUAAACUCAGGAGUAUUGUGUGGAUUGAUUAGUAUGAGAAGUUUCUUUCAUGGUAAGUAUAGAGUUUAAGUAUAUAAAAUCAACUCUUGGUCAUAUAUGUAAAACACAAUUGAGAAGUAAAACUUGCCAUCAACUCUUGGUUAUAUACAAAAAAAUUGAGAAGUAAAACUUGCCAUACAUAUUAGUACAAGUAAUUAAAAACGGAUUAUAGCUUGAAAGGCAUUAGAUCUCACAUUAUUUACAUUCUCACUCCUUUUAGCUCCUUUGCUUUUUUGUUCUCUUGUUUGCAAAGAUUAAAAAUAAUGUUCCUGGCAUUUUAAUGGAACAUUACCAAAUGUACAUUCAUGUGUAUUGAUCAAAGACCAACUUUCAUUAGUGAAAAAAUCUAAUUUUUUCUAGACCAAUUAAAAGGAUAAAAUUCUCUUAUUUGAAUAAUAAGAGAAUUAAAGAGUUUAUUAAGCAAAAACAGUUGCUGAAAAAGCGUAGCAAAGACUGACUAGACUGGCUAGAAUUUCCUCUUCUUCCAGGACAGAUGGUUCUACGACAUUUUAAGCCUUCUUUGUAAUGGCCGAGUGACUGGGUUCUAGCUAGUGGAAUGUGAGUGGAAGCCUUUUACCUCAGAAAAGACACACAAUUCUGCAUGCCCUUUCCCCUUCUGUGGCAUGGUGCAAACAUGCAUGGUGACUUUGGAAGCCACAUUUUGACGAUGGUGGAGCCGCAAGAUGAAAAGAGCCUAGGUUCCUGAAUCACCAGGUGGAGGAAUAUUGCCAAUCCAUCAGUAAUGUAUUUUGUACUUUAUCAGAGCAAUAAAUAAAAUUCUCUACUUUUAGAGCCAUUAUACAUUUUUUUUUUUUAUUUUCAUUGCAGUUGUCGCCUGAACCUAUAUAGAAAUUGGUACCUUGAAAAGUGGAGGUUUCUGAACAAAAAAACCUUUAAGACUGUUCAAGAAGAAUGGUGCCAGCAUCUGCAUCAGGUGAUGGCUUCAAGUUAAAGAAAGAAGGUUCAUGGAAGAAGGUGAAGGGGAGCCAAGCUGGCUGUGUACAGAUAGCACAUAACCAGAAAGGAAGCAAGAGGUGAGUGGGGAGGUGCCAGGUUCUUUUUAACAACCAACUCGUAAUAGAGCCAGAUCUCACUCAGUGCCCCCGUACUGCACCCUAGGGAGCACAUUAAUCCAUUCAUGAGGGAUCUGUCUCCAUGACCCAGACACCUCCCAUUAGGCCCCACCUCCAACUUGAGAUUUGGAUCAGAUUUCAACAUGAGAUUUGGAGGGGUGAAAUAUCCAAACCAUACCAAUCACUUAAUACAAGUAUAAUAAGAUAUAAAGAAUCUUUUUAAUAAAAAAGAUAUGAAAGAGAUUUAAGAGAGUCAAGAGAAAGUGAGAGAUACAGAAGAUAGAUAUAGUAUCUAUUUUUUUAACUUUGAAGAAGAAAACCAAAGCAAUGAACAGAACAAAAAUUACUAGGUCCAUAUAAUCUCACGGGAAAAUUUUAUCAGACCUUUAAAUAGCCAAUGAUCAUAGUGCCAUUUAAAUUAUUUCAGUGUGUAAAAGAAGAAGGAGAACUUCCAAAAUUGUUUUAUGAAAUGAUGAUGCUGUAAUCCUUAAACUUGACAAGGAUUGCACCAAAAAAGAAAACUACAUAUCAAUACCUUUUAAAAUAUCAAUCCAGAACUUACAGAUUAAUAAUAGCAAACACUUAUAUAUUCCUUAUAUAUUCCAGGAAUAUUGAAUGAUUCAAUAUUAGAAAAUUAAACUAUGUAAUUGAUCAUAUCAAUGAAACAAAUAGGGAAACUCAUAUGAUUACACUCCAUAAAUCCUGAAAAGGCAUAUGGCAAAACUUGGCACACAUUCAUGUUAAAGAAUGUUCAGUGGGAGAGGAAUUGAUGAAUAUAUCCUCAUUAACAUUAAAAAGUAGAUAUAUUUCAGGCCAAAAACUUUUAUCUCAUUUAUUGGGAAAUACUAGAUGCUUUUCAGCCAAAGUCGGGAGUAAGGCAAGAAUGCUCACUGGUUCUCUACUACUCUUUUUUUUUAGACAAGAGUUUCGCACUGUAGCCCAGGCUGGAGUGCAGUGGCGCGAUCUUGGCUCACUGCAGCCUCCGCCUCCCAGGUUCAUGCGAUUCUCCUGCCUCAGCCUCCUGAGUAGCUGGGACUACAGGUGCACACCACCAUACCCAGCUAAUUUUUUAUAGUUUUAGUAGAGAUGGGUUUCACUAUGUUGGCCAGACUGAUCUCGAACUCCUGACCUUGUGAUCUGCCUGCCUCGGCCUCCCAGUGUGAUCUGCCUGCCUCAGCCUCCCAAAGUGCUGGGAUUACAGGCAUGAGACACCACGCCCAGCCUUCUUUUUUUUUUUAAACAGCUUUAUUAAGAUAUAAUUUACAUACCAUACAUUUCACAGACUUACAGUGUACAGUUCAGUGAGUUUUAUGUAUUCACAAAGUUGUACAACUAUUACCAUAAUCAUAAUUAUAAAAUUUUAGAACAUUGUCAUCACCCCAAAAGAAACCCCAUAAUCAUUACUAGUCACUUCUCAUUUUCCCCCAAUUUCUCCAGUUGUAGGAAGCCACUAAUUUGCCUCCAAUUUUUAUAGAUUUACCUAUUCUGGACAUUUUAAAUAAGUAGACUCAUACAGUAUGGGGCCUUUCGUGAUUGGCUUCUUUGACAGCAUAAUGUUUUCAAGGUUCCUCCAUGUUGUAGAAUCAAUAUUUCAUUACUUCUUAUUGCUGAAUAGUAUUUAAUUGUAUAUAUGAACUACAUUUUACUUAUCCAUUCAUAAUUGGUAGACGUUUUAGAUAGUUCCCAAUUUUUAGCUAUUAUGAAUAAUUAUAGCAUUAUACAUGAUGCUGACAUUUGUAUAUACAUAUUUGUUUGGAAAUAUGUUUUUAUUUCUUUGGGGUAUAUAAAAAGGUGUGGUUGUGUGGUAAUGUUACAUUUAAACAUUUGAAGAACUGCCAGACUCCCGAAUGACUGGAGCAUUUUGCAUUCCCACCAUCAACUUAUGAAGGCUCUAAUUUCUUUACAUCCUCACCAACACGUGUUAUUAUCUAUCCUUUUGAUUUUACCCAUCCUCUGGGUGUGAAGUGGUAUCUGUUCUGGUUUUGAUUUGCAUUUACCUAAUGGCUAAUAUUAUUGAGCAUUGCUUCCUGUACUUAUUGGGUGUUUGUAUAUCUUCUCUGGAGAAAUGUAUAUUCAGCUUGUUUGUCUACUUAAAAAUUUGGAUUACUGUGUCUUUAUUAUUGAACUGUGCUUUAGCUUAGGCUGCCUUAACAAAAUACCAUAGACUGGGUGGCUUAAACAACAUAAAUUUAUGUUAUCACUGUUCUGGAGGCUAGAAGUCUCAUCAAGGAACCAGCAUGGUCAGUUGCUGGUGAAGUCUCUCUUCCCUCUUGUAGAUGGCCACCUUCUCAUUGUGUCCUCACAUGGUGAGGGGAGAGAAAGAGCAAGAUCUCUUGUGUCUCUUCUUUUAAGGGCACUAAUCCCAUCAUGAGUGCCAUACUCUCAUGACCUCAUCUAACCCUCAUUGCUUCCCAAAAGUCCCAUCACCAAAUACCAUUACAAUGGGGCCUACAGAUUCAAUAUAUGAAUUUUGAGGGGACACAAAUAUUCAAUCCAUAACAGAUUUGUGAGUUCUUUAUAUAUUCUGCAUACAAGUUGCUUAUCAGAUAUAUGAUUUGCAAACAUGUUCUCCUAUCCUAUGGGUUUAAAAAAAAAUCUGUAUGGCAUCCUUUGAAGCAUAAAAGUUAACUAAUUUUGAUAAAAUCUGGUUUAUCUGUGUUUUCGUUUCUUCCUUGUGCUUUUGAUAUCACAUCUUGGAAGACUUUGCCUAACCCAUAGUCAUGAAGAUUUAAUCCAUAUUUUAAGAAUUGUAUAAUUUUCAUUUCUACAUUUAGGUUUGUCAUCCAUUUUGAGUUAAUUGUUGUAUAUGGCAUGAGAAAGAGUUUCAAUUAUUUUCUUUUGUUUGUAGAUAUCCAGUUGUCCCAGCACAAUUUUUUGAUAAGACUAUUGUUUUCUUUCAUUGAAUUUGUUUGGCAAACUUACCAAAAAUCAAUUGACCGUAAGUAUAAGGAUGGAUUUCUGGACUCUCAAUUGUAUUUCACUGGUGUAUGUCUGUCCUUAUAUCAGUACCACACAGUCUUGAUUAUUUGCUUUUGUGGAUUCUUUAGGGGGUUACAUAUACACAAUCAUGUCAUUUGUGAAGAGAGACUGUUUUACUUUUUCCAUAUGGACUCGUUUUUAUUUAAUUUUCUUACCUAAUUCCUUUUCUAGAACCCACAGUACAAUGUUGACUAGAAGCUGAAAAAUUGGACACUGUUUUUCUGGAUUGUAAGCGAGAAACAUUGUGUCUCACCAUUAAGUAUGAUGUUAGCUAUGGUUUUCAUAAAUACCUUUUAUCAGGUUGAGGAACAUUCCUUCUCUAUUAAUUUCCCAGGGAUGCUAUAACAAAAUGCUAUAAAUUUGAUGGCAUAAACAGUACAUUAUUGUCUCAUUUCUGGGGGCCAGAAGUCUGAAAUCAAGGAAUUAGCAGGGCCACACUCCAUCUGGAGGGUCUAGGGAAGAAUUCUUCCUUGCCUCUUCCAUCCUGUGGUUGCUAUCAGAAUUCCUUGGCUUCCUUGGCUUGUGAUAACAUAAUCUAAUCUCUGCCUCCAUCUUCACAUAGCCUUAUUCUCUCUGUCUGUGUCUGCCCCUUUUCUAAGGAAACUUGUCACUGGAUUUAAGGAAUACCUGAAUAUUCCAGAUUUAUCUCAUUUCAGGAUUCUUCACUGAAUUACAUCUGCAAAGAUCUGUCUUCCAAAUAAGGUGCCAUCCACAGUUUUGAGGAUUAGGGCACAGAUUUCUUUUGGGGGUAUUCGGGGUACUGUUCAACCACUACAGUCUGCCCCCUAGCUCCCCACAAUUCACAUUUAUCUCACAUAUCUUCUUUCAUCUUCUUUCAUUCCUGAUCCUGAUUAUUUGAGUCUUCUCUCUCUUUUUGUUGGUUAGACUAAUUAAAAGUUUAUCAACUUUUAUAUCUUUUCAAAGAAGCAAUUUUUGAUUUUUUCUUUUCUAUUUAUUUAUUUAUUUAGAGACGGAGUCUUACUCUGUCGCCCAGGCUGCAGUGCAGUGGCGCCAUCUCUGCUCACUGCAAGCUCCGCCUCCCAGGUUCACACCAUUCACCUGCCUCGGCCUCCCGAGUAGCUGGGACGACAGGCGCCCGCCACCACACCCGGCUAAUUUUUUUGUAUUUUUAGUAGAGAUGGGGUUUCACUGCGUUAGCCAGGAUGGUCUCGAUCUCCUGAUCUCAUGAUCUGCCUGCCUCGGCCUCUCAAAGUGCUGGGAUUACAGGCGUGAACCACUGCGCCUGGCUGAUUUUGUUUUUCUCUAUUGCUUUUCAAUUCUCUAUAUUAUUUAUCUCCACUUUCAUUUCUAUUAUUUCUUCCCCUGCUUGCUUUAAGUUUAGUUUGCUCCUCUUCCAUUGUCUUAAGGUGGAAGGUUAGGUUAUUGAUUUGCAGCCUUUCUUCUUUUUUAAUAUAGGUAUUUAUAACUAUAAAUUUCCCUCUAAGCACUGCUGUAUCUGUAUCUCAUAAGUUUUGGUAUAUUAUUCUUCAUUCAUUCAUCUCAAAAUAUUUUUAAAUUUCCCUUGUGAUUUUACCCUUUAGUAAUUUAGGAGUAUGACUAACUUCCACAUAUUUGUGAACUUUCCAAAUUUAUUUCUGUUUUUGAUCUAAAAUUUUAUUCCAUUGUGGUUGGAAAACAAAAUUUAUAUGAUUUCAAUACCCGUGUAUUUAUUAAGGCUUGUUUUGUGGCCUAGCAUAUACUCUAUCCUAGAGUAUGUUCCAUGAGCACUUGAGAAAAAUGUGUAUUCUCCUACUGUAGGGUAGAGUGUUUUAUGGAUUUCUGUUAUAUCUAGGUGAUUUAUACUGUUGUUCAAGUCUUCUAUUUACUUGUUGAUAUUCUGCCUAGUGUUGUUUUUUUAACUGAAAGUAGGGUAAUGGCGUCAUUAUUGAAAGUGGGGUAUUGGAGUCUCCAAUUAUUAUUGUCCAAUUGUCUAUUUCCUUUUUCAUUUCUAUUAGUUUUUAUUUGAUGUAUUUUGUGGCUCAGUUGUUAAGUUCGUAUAUCUUUAUAAAUGUUAUAUCUUCCUGAUGGAUUAUUCCUUUUAUCAUUAUAAAUAUUUCUUACUCUCUAGUAACAUUUUUGUUGUAAAGUCUACUUUGUCUGAUAUUACUAUAGCCACUUUUAGCUUUCUCAUAGUUGCUUUUUUGCAUGAUGUAUCUUUUGCCACUCUUUUACUUUCAAUCUAAUUGUGUCUGAAUCUAAAGUUUAUCUCCUGCAGAAAGAACAUAGCUGGAAUUUAUUUUUUAAAUCCAGCCUGACGGUCUGCUUUUUGAUUGGAUUGUUUAAUUUAUUCAUAUUUAAUGCUAUCAUUAUAGUUGGACUUAUGUCUACCAUUUCUCAUCUAUUUUCUGUAUUUCUUAUGCAUUUUUCUUUUGUUCUUUCUUUUCAGCUGUCUUUUAUAUCAAAUGAAUAAUUUCUAGUAUGAUUUUUUAAUUUCUGUAAUCUUUUUCACUGUAUUAUAAACAUUUAUUCUACUAGUGGUUGCUCUAGGACUUCCCAAACACAUAUUAAUGUAUCACAGUCUACUUCAGAAUUAUACGUAUGUUUAGUGAGAUAUAGAAAUGUUAUUCUAUAUAGCUAUAUUUUUGCUUUCCAUUUUUGUGCUAUUAUUGUUAUGCAUAUUACAUCUAUAUGUUACAAAUACAACAGAAUAUUGUUAUAAUUAUUUUAUAUAAUAUUAACAUCUUUUUAAAAAGCUAGGAAAAGACAGACCAAGUGUAUAUAUUUAUAGUGUGUUAUAUUGAUGUUCUUAUUUACUAUUUCAGGUUCUCUUAAUUUGUUUAUUUUGCUUUUGAGUUUUAAAGUGAAUUUCCUAAAAAUUGGAAUAAAAUGAAAAAUGAACCUAACUGCUCUAUUCAGAAACCAUUCAGAGCUAUUUAUUUAUUUAUUUAUUUGUCUUUUUUCUUUUUUAUUGCUUUUCACAUUGAACGUCAGGCCUUAAGCCUGAGAGAAGUGGCUCUGAGACCCUAAGUGCCCUGAGGAGUGCCCCCAUCCCCACUGAGCUAAGCGGGGUGUUUUAAGUUAUUUUUAAACCCAAUAAUUUGUAUAUCUUGGUGUGAUAUAUACAAAAGAUAAAAGUAACCACAACAAGACCUUAAACUGUUUCCUGUAAUCACUGAUAGCUGUGGAAUUUUUUGUUUUUGUUUUCUGAGACUGGUGAAUGUUCUUCCUGAAUAAAUUAAGUGAGGAAUUAUUCAGGGCCAGGACUAGAGUGAGGGAAGAAGGCAUUUGCCUCAGGCACAAAAUAUAAGGGACUCAAAACAAAUACAGUAAUGAGCUGUGAUUGCAUCACUGCACUUCCACCUGGGCAACAGAGUGAGACCUUGUCUCAAAUAUAUAUAUAUAUAAUGAAUUAAAGAAUAUAUAUAUAUAUGUUUGAGACAAGGUUAUACAGCUGAAUUAGAGAAUACUGAAACAUUGCUCCA
This 14087-nucleotide long non-coding RNA is filed under the name Homo sapiens (human). RNAcentral's name for it is "HSALNT0364749". The record is from RNAcentral. Lineage: Eukaryota; Metazoa; Chordata; Mammalia; Primates; Hominidae.